RNAcentral lists this small RNA (522 nucleotides) under Pongo abelii (Sumatran orangutan). RNAcentral describes it as "processed transcript". The record is from RNAcentral. Lineage: Eukaryota; Metazoa; Chordata; Mammalia; Primates; Hominidae.
UUGGAAAGCAGCCAGGAAAUUCUGGACCUUAUUCACAAGGUUUGGAUGGAACUGUUGAGUAAGGCUUCAGUUCAGUAUGUGGUAGCAGCUGCUUGCCCAUGGAUGGGUGCUUGGCUUUGCUUGAUGAUGCAGCCUUCUCAUUUACCUAUCGAUUUAAAUAUGUUGCUAGAAGUAAAAGCUAGAGCCAAGGAAAAAACAGGUGGUAAGGUGCGCCAAGGCCAAAGCCAGAAUAAAGAAGUACUUCAGGAGUAUAUUGCAGGUGCCGACACCAUCAUGGAAGACCCGGCCACCAGGGAUUUUGUAGUUAUGCGGGCCAGAAUGAUGGCAGCCAAGUGAGUGUACAUUAAGUGUCACGUAGUCAUACAUUUACAAGUCUGGCUUUCAAAGGUUAUUUAACCAACAGAAGAUUCCUCUGCUGUUUCCAUCAAUCCUUCCUUCGUUCAUCACACUAAUUAUAGGCUAAGGAAAAAUUAGAGUAAGCAAAUACUUCUCAUUAUUUUAAAGCUUUAAAAUAGGAUUUAU